Molecule: non-coding RNA, 168 nt
Organism: Myotis lucifugus (little brown bat)
Lineage: Eukaryota; Metazoa; Chordata; Mammalia; Chiroptera; Vespertilionidae
Source: Rfam
AUACUUACCUGGCAGGGGAGAUACCAUGAUCACGAAGGUGGUUUUCCCAGGGCGAGGCUUAUCCAUUGCACUCCGGAUGUGCUGACCCCUGCGAUUUCCCCAAAUGUGGGAAACUCGACUGCAUAAUUUGUGGUAGUGGGGGAAAAAAAAAACAAAUUUAGUUUUAUC